CUGAGCUCUGAAACGGCUCUGAAACGGAAUCUUGCAGCAUAUCCUGGAAAAGCAAAUGGAUACAGGCCUUGUUGACUGGCUCAGCCUCAUAGACUUUUUCAGCUUUUGAUGACUCUGAUAGUUUUAAGAACAACUUGCUGCAUUGGUGGAAUUUCCAGGAUUAUGCUGAGUAAUUGUGUCAGAAGAAAUUCUAUAGUCACCUUGGAUUCCAGUAAAAACCUUCAUAAUGCUGAGACUAUCCAAAGCAGAAACAAUCAGUACAUGGAGACUGAAUUGCCCCUUCAAAAGUGAUAAGAAUUUCUCCAGAGCCACCUUGCAAAAUCAGAACUGACAUACUGAUCAACCUAACCCUACCCCACCUCAGAAAGUCCAGAAGAAACAGCCUCAUUUCUUUACUAACAGGCCAAUCAUCUUCUCCAUCAGAGUUGUGACCCCUUCAGCCCAUUGAGCUAAAGUCUCUUACCUAUUUUUUAUUUUUUCUAUCUGUACCUGAUAAAUUUGCCUCUACCUCUCAUGAAGUAUCCUAAAAUGUAUUUCUACAACACCACAUCAGGAACAUGUCCAGGCCCAGAUGAAAUCUCCAUCUACUCUUUAAGGGGACUUCUUCAAACACCAUGAAGUGACAACUUCGUGCUCCUAAAACACUUGUGUGACUAUCCCUUUUUAGUUAAAUUUAAUACAGGAAUAUUUCAAGUUUCUAAAGUAUUAACUAAGAAAUUGUGUUAGUUUUGCAGUUCGGGUAACAUUUAGUUAAUGUAAUUUUAAGGCUGGUCUGUGAUUUGAGAUUAUUUGUUAUUAAUUAAAGAUAGAAUAAAAUUAUUUUUUGCUACUGCUAUGACUUGUAUCUAGAUGUCCCCUCAAAGCCUCACGUGCUUAUAGGUGGGAAGUUUCAGAGGUGACUGGAUUAGGGUAAAUGAAUGUGGAUCAAGGGUGUGAUGCUGGGAUUAAGGGUGCCCUACCCUGGGUGUGGAUGGCAUCAAUCAAUAGGCUUACAGCCUUUAUGGAAUAUAAAGAGACAGAAAGAAAGCAGGGCUGCUGCUGCUGUGGUUGUUCCUGCUGCUGGGUGCUUUUUGCUUGCCCUGCAACACCAUGGACUCUCCUCUGUAAUGGCCCUCUCUCAUCCUGCGCUGGCUUGGAGUCAGCUUAGUACCUGGAC
Long non-coding RNA from Heterocephalus glaber (naked mole-rat), 1156 nucleotides. The record is from Ensembl. NCBI's taxonomy places the organism in Eukaryota, Metazoa, Chordata, Mammalia, Rodentia, Bathyergidae.